RNAcentral lists this transfer RNA (72 nucleotides) under Stegodyphus mimosarum. It matches the Rfam family "tRNA". Rfam says of the family: Transfer RNA (tRNA) molecules are approximately 80 nucleotides in length. Their secondary structure includes four short double-helical elements and three loops (D, anti-codon, and T loops). The record is from Rfam by way of RNAcentral. Lineage: Eukaryota; Metazoa; Arthropoda; Arachnida; Araneae; Eresidae.
GCCAUCGUGGUGUAGUGGUCUGCACGCUCGACAAGUAACCGAGAGGUCGUGGUUCGAUUCCCGGUGAAGGCG